GUCUCUAUCUCCGUCCGCGAGGCAAGUCGCACGCCUCAGUCACGAACAGCCUCGCCGACGCAGGUCACGCCGUAUCGCACGAAUUCGGCUACGUUGCCGGGCUACUCCCAUCCGCGCGUAACUGCUGUUGAACGUCCGAACCGUUCUGCCUUCGUCGAUACCCACCGUCGCGGACCAGUUCGCGUGCAAAAGUGUUUUGCACGAUGUCUUUUGUGUAGAUCCUGCGGCAACUUCUAUUUAACGUCGAUUGUCAAAGUCUUGUUACAAGAUAUUGGCGACAUCGGUGAUUUGGAGUUAGUGUCCUUGAGUUACGCCUUAAGCUUUGUUGGAGUUCGAUUCUUUACUCUUGGGGUUUGUUUGUUGAAGUUAGUUCGACUAAGGAAUUUUACAUAAAGAUCCAGGCAAAGGUAAUAAAGGCGGCAAACAGGCGAGGGGCAGGAAGGAAACGUGAUGCCAUAGGAAACGUGUUUUUGCUUCUGCUUAUGGGUUCUUGAGAGGUUUAAAAUGGAUUGAAAUUUAGUUUACAAACGUUUGUUGUAAAUAGUAUUAUUUUAUGAAUGUUUUAAAAAUCAGGCCUGACUUGAA
This is a long non-coding RNA of Cucumis sativus (cucumber), 585 nucleotides long. RefSeq lists it as uncharacterized. Lineage: Eukaryota; Viridiplantae; Streptophyta; Magnoliopsida; Cucurbitales; Cucurbitaceae. The record is from RefSeq and is a predicted model, not a curated record. The transcript has 3 exons.